This 523-nucleotide ribosomal RNA is filed under the name uncultured bacterium PHOS-HE26. RNAcentral describes it as "bacterial SSU rRNA". It matches the Rfam family "Bacterial small subunit ribosomal RNA", at positions 97 to 613 of the family's 1533-position model. Lineage: Bacteria; Pseudomonadati; Pseudomonadota; Betaproteobacteria. The record is from RNAcentral.
GGCGAAUGGGUGAGUAAUGCAUCGGAACGUGCCCAUGUCGUGGGGGAUAACGUAGCGAAAGCUACGCUAAUACCGCAUACGCCCUGAGGGGGAAAGCGGGGGAUUCUUCGGAACCUCGCGCGAUUGGAGCGGCCGAUGUCGGAUUAGCUAGUAGGUGAGGUAAAGGCUCACCUAGGCGACGAUCCGUAGCGGGUCUGAGAGGAUGAUCCGCCACACUGGGACUGAGACACGGCCCAGACUCCUACGGGAGGCAGCAGUGGGGAAUUUUGGACAAUGGGCGCAAGCCUGAUCCAGCCAUGCCGCGUGAGUGAAGAAGGCCUUCGGGUUGUAAAGCUCUUUCGGCCGGGAAGAAAUCGUGGUCUCUAACAUAGGCCAUGGAUGACGGUACCGGACUAAGAAGCACCGGCUAACUACGUGCCAGCAGCCGCGGUAAUACGUAGGGUGCGAGCGUUAAUCGGAAUUACUGGGCGUAAAGCGUGCGCAGGCGGUUUUGUAAGACAGAUGUGAAAUCCCCGGGCUUAAC